RNAcentral lists this ribosomal RNA (254 nucleotides) under uncultured bacterium. RNAcentral's name for it is "partial 16S ribosomal RNA". It matches the Rfam family "Bacterial small subunit ribosomal RNA", at positions 524 to 776 of the family's 1533-position model. The record is from RNAcentral.
UACAGAGGUCUCGAGCGUUGUUCGGAUUCAUUGGGCGUAAAGGGCGCGUAGGCGGCCAUCGCAAGUCAAUUGUGAAAUCUCCGGGCUUAACUCGGAAAGGUCAACUGAUACUGCGAGGCUAGAGUGCGGAAGGGGCAACUGGAAUUCUCGGUGUAGCGGUGAAAUGCGUAGAUAUCGAGAGGAACACCUGCGGCGAAGGCGGGUUGCUGGGCCGACACUGACGCUGAGGCGCGAAAGCUAGGGGAGCGAACGGG